CUGGAGAUCGGACGGAUGCUACGUCGUCCUGUUAAUCUCAGAUGGAAAAAAUGCAAAAUCUCAAGCAGUUAUUGCUUGCAACAGAUGUCGCUACGGCAGCGGCGCUUCCAUUUUGAAAACCUGUCAAGUGUAUAUGUUCCAGCGUACUGCGUCAUCCCGUUUAACUCAGGUACCGAGCAUUAGAAGAGUCCAGCAGGAAUACAUAU
Molecule: long non-coding RNA, 206 nt
Filed under: Polistes fuscatus (common paper wasp)
Lineage: Eukaryota; Metazoa; Arthropoda; Insecta; Hymenoptera; Vespidae
Description: uncharacterized LOC122518666
Source: RNAcentral